CUGACCGAUAGUGAACUAGUACCGUGAGGGAAAGGCGAAAAGAACCCCGGUGAGGGGAGUGAAAUAGAUCCUGAAACCGCGUACGUACAAGCAGUAGGAGCCUCUUUUAUGGGGUGACUGCGUACCUUUUGUAUAAUGGGUCAGCGAGUUAUUGUCAGUAGCAAGGUUAACCGUUUAGGGGAGCCGUAGGGAAACCGAGUCUUAAUAGGGCGUUUUAGUUGCUGGUAAUAGACCCGAAACCGGGCGAUCUAUCCAUGGCCAGGUUGAAGGUGCCGUAACAGGCACUGGAGGACCGAACCCACCUAUGUUGAAAAAUGGGGGGAUGAGCUGUGGCUCGGAGUGAAAGGCUAAUCAAGCCCGGAGAUAGCUGGUUCUCCUCGAAAACUAUUUAGGUAGUGCCUCGCGUUUGACUGCUGGGGGUAGAGCACUGUGUCGGCUAGGGGGUCAUCCCGACUUACCAACCCGAUGC
Molecule: ribosomal RNA, 469 nt
Filed under: Ctenophora environmental sample
Lineage: Eukaryota; Metazoa; Ctenophora
Description: partial Bacterial large subunit ribosomal RNA
Rfam family: Bacterial large subunit ribosomal RNA
Source: RNAcentral